UACAGAGGUCCCAAGCGUUGUUCGGAUUCACUGGGCGUAAAGGGUGCGUAGGUGGCCAGGUAAGUUUGGUGUGAAAGCUCGGAGCUUAACUCCGGAAAGUCAUUGAAUACUAUCUGGCUGGAGGGUCGGAGGGGAGACUGGAAUUCUCGGUGUAGCAGUGAAAUGCGUAGAUAUCGAGAGGAACACCAGUGGCGAAGGCGAGUCUCUGGACGACUCCUGACACUGAGGCACGAAAGCUAGGGGAGCAAACAGG
Molecule: ribosomal RNA, 253 nt
Filed under: uncultured bacterium
Lineage: Bacteria
Description: partial 16S ribosomal RNA
Rfam family: Bacterial small subunit ribosomal RNA
Source: RNAcentral